GAAGCGAGAGUGACGGUACCUGCAGAAGAAGCACCGGCUAACUACGUGCCAGCAGCCGCGGUAAUACGUAGGGUGCAAGCGUUGUCCGGAAUUAUUGGGCGUAAAGAGCUCGUAGGUGGUUCGUCGCGUCUGCUGUGAAAGUCCGAGGCUUAACCUCGGAUCUGCAGUGGGUACGGGCGGACUAGAGUGCGGUAGAGGAGAUCGGAAUUCCUGGUGUAGCGGUGGAAUGCGCAGAUAUCAGGAGGAACACCGGUGGCGAAGGCGGAUCUCUGGGCCGUAACUGACGCUGAGGAGCGAAAGCAUGGGGAGCGAACAGGCUUAGAUACCCUGGUAGUCCAUGCCGUAAACGUUGGGCGCUAGGUGUGGGGUCCUAUCCACGGAUUCCGUGCCGCAGCUAACGCAUUAAGCGCCCCGCCUGGGGAGUACGGCCGUAAGGCUAAAACUCAAAGGAAUUGACGGGGCCCGCACAAGCGGCGGAGCAUGCGGAUUAAUUCGAUGCAACGCGAAGAACCUUACCAAGGCUUGAC
This 527-nucleotide ribosomal RNA is filed under the name uncultured Micrococcineae bacterium. RNAcentral describes it as "bacterial SSU rRNA". It matches the Rfam family "Bacterial small subunit ribosomal RNA", at positions 460 to 985 of the family's 1533-position model. The record is from RNAcentral. Lineage: Bacteria; Bacillati; Actinomycetota; Actinomycetes; Micrococcales.